CCUACGGGAGGCAGCAGUGGGGAAUUUUGGACAAUGGGCGCAAGCCUGAUCCAGCAAUGCCGCGUGCAGGAUGAAGGCCUUCGGGUUGUAAACUGCUUUUGUACGGAACGAAACGGUCUGCUUUAAUAAAGUGGGCUAAUGACGGUACCGUAAGAAUAAGCACCGGCUAACUACGUGCCAGCAGCCGCGGUAAUACGUAGGGUGCGAGCGUUAAUCGGAAUUACUGGGCGUAAAGCGUGCGCAGGCGGUUAUAUAAGACAGAUGUGAAAUCCCCGGGCUCAACCUGGGACCUGCAUUUGUGACUGUAUAGCUAGAGUACGGUAGAGGGGGAUGGAAUUCCGCGUGUAGCAGUGAAAUGCGUAGAUAUGCGGAGGAACACCGAUGGCGAAGGCAAUCCCCUGGACCUGUACUGACGCUCAUGCACGAAAGCGUGGGGAGCAAACAGGAUUAGAUACCCUGGUAGUCCACGCCCUAAACGAUGUCAACUGGUUGUUGGGUCUUCACUGACUCAGUAAUGAAGCUAACGCGUGAAGUUGACCGCCUGGGGAGUACGGCCGCAAGGUUGAAACUCAAAUGAAUUGACGG
This 585-nucleotide ribosomal RNA is filed under the name uncultured bacterium. RNAcentral describes it as "bacterial SSU rRNA". It matches the Rfam family "Bacterial small subunit ribosomal RNA", at positions 338 to 916 of the family's 1533-position model. The record is from RNAcentral.